UGUGAAAUAACAAUUAGCUCAAUUUGCAAAUAAUUUCACAAGCAACAUAUCAUGUAUGUUACGAGAGAGUGGCGUUGUGUAGAAACUUGCCAGCAUAUAGCCUUAAUACAAUUCACUUGGGAAUUAAAUUAAACACCUUUCUGAAAGAUGGGUUAUUGAAUUCUGAGUAAGUAUUAUUCCAGGUUGCUUCUGUUUAUUAAGUGGUGAUGAAGUUGGGUUAAAAGAAUUAAUUUGCAUCUAUCCAUGGUGAAAGCUGCAUGUAAGACUGUUACGAGCUCUAGAAUAAAUGGCAUACAAUAGAAAACAGCAAAGAUAAAAAUAAUUAACUUGCUGUGGCUCUUGGGCAAGUUAUUUGAUUCCAUGUCCUUCUUCGAUAAAGAAAAAGUAGCAGAGUAAAUCAUAUCUAGAACAUCUUGUGUUUUAUCAGCUCUUCAAGACUCUCUCCAAUCAAAUAAUGUUCACUCACAGAUGAAGUGAUAUAUCAAGAUGAAUGUCAAAUUGGCAUACGCAAUUUCUUGCCUUAUAUGGAAGCUGGGGCUUCUCCAUCUGGGAAUGUACGCCUAAAGAGUUCCACUUCAGCAAGACAAUGAUGUGAGGAGCUCCACAGAACUGUUCCCUAGUGAAAAUGGUGAUUAUAAAAGGACGACCAUUUAACAUCUCUGGAAAUGGUCCUGGAGGCAAGCAGCAAAUGAAGAAACAUUUAUCCAAGACAAUCUACCAAAGGAAUAUUUAACUCACCUGGAUCAUUGUCCUUGGAAAAAAUUUGGUGCACAUUCUACAACAUUAUUGGUGCUCCAAGAUAAAACAAUCUAUCAUUCUAUCAACUCUCAAAUGUUCCAUUUGCCAGUAUACAGAGGUGUAUGCAGUUGGAUCUAGACAGAGAAAACUCAGCUCUAUGGACACCUACAAU
Felis catus (domestic cat) is the source of this 910-nucleotide long non-coding RNA. RefSeq lists it as uncharacterized. Lineage: Eukaryota; Metazoa; Chordata; Mammalia; Carnivora; Felidae. The record is from RefSeq and is a predicted model, not a curated record. The transcript is spliced from 4 exons.